GUCUUCGGGGCAGGGUGAAAUUCCCGACCGGCGGUAUAGUCCGCGAGCCGCUUCGGCGGCAUGAACCGGUGUGAUUCCGGUACCGACUGUAGAGUCAGGAUGGUAGAAGACG
RNAcentral lists this non-coding RNA (112 nucleotides) under bovine gut metagenome. RNAcentral describes it as "FMN riboswitch (RFN element)". It matches the Rfam family "FMN riboswitch aptamer (RFN element)". From Rfam's summary of the family: The RFN element is a highly conserved domain that is found frequently in the 5'-untranslated regions of prokaryotic mRNAs that encode for flavin mononucleotide (FMN) biosynthesis and transport proteins. The record is from RNAcentral.